RNAcentral lists this small RNA (161 nucleotides) under human gut metagenome. RNAcentral's name for it is "Clostridiales-1 RNA". It matches the Rfam family "Clostridiales-1 RNA". The record is from RNAcentral.
GAUUACAGUGUCAAAAGUCUUUCCCCAUUUCAUGCUUGCAUGAAGGUGGGGAUAGGGCUUUAUGACACGCCCUACAAUGAGGAUGAAGUGGUGCUUUUGCACCAUGAGAAUCCGAAUUGUAGGAGGAUUGUGGGAGUGCGGAGCACGAAACAAUCCGUGUA